RNAcentral lists this ribosomal RNA (253 nucleotides) under uncultured bacterium. RNAcentral describes it as "partial 16S ribosomal RNA". It matches the Rfam family "Bacterial small subunit ribosomal RNA", at positions 524 to 776 of the family's 1533-position model. The record is from RNAcentral.
UACGUAGGGUGCGAGCGUUGUCCGGAAUUAUUGGGCGUAAAGGGCUCGUAGGCGGUUUGUCGCGUCGGGAGUGAAAUCCACUGGCUUAACUGGUGGCUUGCUUUCGAUACGGGCAGACUGGAGGUAUGCAGGGGAGAACGGAAUUCCUGGUGUAGCGGUGAAAUGCGCAGAUAUCAGGAGGAACACCGGUGGCGAAAGCGGCUCUCUGGAACGGUACUGACGCUGAGACGCGAAAGCGUGGGGAGCGAACAGG